This is a non-coding RNA of Biomphalaria pfeifferi, 295 nucleotides long. Lineage: Eukaryota; Metazoa; Mollusca; Gastropoda; Planorbidae. The record is from the annotation of a GenBank genome assembly.
UAUAUAUAUAUAUAUAUAUAUAUAUUAGUUCAAACAAUUUUUUUUUUUGUGUGUUCAAAUCAGAUAAUUGUUUCUUUGUUUUCUAGAGUGUUGACUUGAACAAGUGUGUGUGUGUGUGUUUUGAAGCAUUCCAUUCAGUUAGAAGUGAUCAAAUAAACUUUUCAUGAAUGCAACAAGUCACUGGGAGUGUUUUCAUUGGACGAUUUUCUUGUGUGUUUUGUUUGUAACAUUUGUCUUUUAUAGAACUUUUCUAAUGACUAACAUUGAGUAAUAAUAAUAAUUGUAAUAAUUGGCA